CCUACGGGUGGCAGCAGUGGGGAAUAUUGGACAAUGGGCGAAAGCCUGAUCCAGCCAUGCCGCGUGUGUGAAGAAGGCCUUCGGGUUGUAAAGCACUUUCAGUGGGGAAGAAAGCCUUGGGGCUAAUACCCUCGAGGAAGGACAUCACCCACAGAAGAAGCACCGGCUAACUCCGUGCCAGCAGCCGCGGUAAUACGGAGGGUGCGAGUGUUAAUCGGAAUUACUGGGCGUAAAGCGCGCGUAGGCGGUCUGAUAAGCCGGUUGUGAAAGCCCCGGGCUCAACCUGGGAACGGCAUCCGGAACUGUCAGGCUAGAGUGCAGGAGAGGAAGGUAGAAUUCCCGGUGUAGCGGUGAAAUGCGUAGAGAUCGGGAGGAAUACCAGUGGCGAAGGCGGCCUUCUGGACUGACACUGACGCUGAGGUGCGAAAGCGUGGGUAGCAAACAGGAUUAGAUACCCCAGUAGUC
RNAcentral lists this ribosomal RNA (465 nucleotides) under Vreelandella stevensii. RNAcentral describes it as "partial 16S ribosomal RNA". It matches the Rfam family "Bacterial small subunit ribosomal RNA", at positions 338 to 795 of the family's 1533-position model. Lineage: Bacteria; Pseudomonadati; Pseudomonadota; Gammaproteobacteria; Oceanospirillales; Halomonadaceae. The record is from RNAcentral.